Molecule: small nucleolar RNA, 138 nt
Filed under: Macaca mulatta (Rhesus monkey)
Lineage: Eukaryota; Metazoa; Chordata; Mammalia; Primates; Cercopithecidae
Description: H/ACA box 71 snoRNA
Rfam family: Small nucleolar RNA SNORA71
About the family: The members of this family belong to the H/ACA class of snoRNAs which bind a number of proteins (including dyskerin, Gar1p and Nop10p) to form snoRNP complexes. This class of snoRNAs are thought to guide the sites of modification of uridines to pseudouridines by forming direct base pairing interactions with substrate RNAs. This family includes U71 (SNORA71), ACA39 (SNORA39) and ACA60 (SNORA60).
Source: RNAcentral
CACCUGCAUUCAAAAAUGAUCACGGGCUGCCUGUGCUCUGGUCAUCGAUAACGCAGGGAGAGGAAUUGCUGAAAGCCGUUUCCCGUGUUUGGAGGGUUCACACCUGUCCCUUUCAAAUGCUGGCGCCUUCACACACUC